GAUGAACGCUGGCGGCGUGCCUAAUACAUGCAAGUAGAACGCUGAAGAGAGGAGCUUGCUCUUCUUGGGUGAGUUGCGAACGGGUGAGUAACGCGUAGGUAACCUGCCUUGUAGCGGGGGAUAACUAUUGGAAACGAUAUCCAAUACCGCAUAACAAUGGAUGACACAUGUCAUUUAUUUGAAAGGGGCAAUUGCUCCACUACAAGAUGGAUCUCCGUUGUAUUAGCUAGUAGGUGAGGUAAUGGCCCACCAAGGCGACGAUACAUAGCCGGCCUGAGAGGAUGAUCAGCAACACGGGACUUGGACAACGGUCAGGCUCCCUCCGGGAGGAAGAAGAGGGGAACAUCGGACAUGGGGGGAACGCUUGACGAAGAAAGCCGGGGUAGGGGAGGAAGGUCUCCGGUCGGAAAAGUCCGUUGUAUGGGAAGAAAGGGCAGGAGGGUAAAAAGUUCACGUUGUGACGGUAGCUAAACAGAAAGCAACGGCUAACUACGUG
This 496-nucleotide ribosomal RNA is filed under the name uncultured bacterium. RNAcentral's name for it is "partial 16S ribosomal RNA". It matches the Rfam family "Bacterial small subunit ribosomal RNA", at positions 28 to 507 of the family's 1533-position model. The record is from RNAcentral.